GAUGAACGCUGGCGGCGUGCCUAAUACAUGCAAGUCGAGCGAACAGACUAUGCCCUUGCUCCCCUCACGUUAGCGGCUGACGGGCGAGUAACACGUGGAUGACCUACCUAUAAGACUGGUAGCACUUCGUGAAACCUGAGCUAAUACCGUAUAAUAUAUUAAACUUCAUUGUUCAAUAGUGAUAGACUGUUUUGCUGUCACUCAUAGCUGGAUCCGCGCCGCAUUAUCUAGUUGGUAAGGUAACGGCUUACCACGGCAACGAGGCGUAGCCGACCUGAGAGGGUGAUCGGCCACACUGGAACUGAGCCAGGGUCCAGACUCCUACGGGAGGCAGCAGUAGGGAAUCUUCCGCAAUGGGCGAAAGCUUGACGGAGCAACGCCGCGUGAGUGAUGAAGGUCUUCGGAUCGUAAACCUCUGUUAUUAGGGAAGACCAAAUGUGUAAGUAAAUAUGCACGUCUUGACGGUACCUAAUCAGAAAGCCACGGCUAACUACGUG
RNAcentral lists this ribosomal RNA (497 nucleotides) under uncultured bacterium. Its description in RNAcentral is "partial 16S ribosomal RNA". It matches the Rfam family "Bacterial small subunit ribosomal RNA", at positions 28 to 507 of the family's 1533-position model. The record is from RNAcentral.